RNAcentral lists this ribosomal RNA (590 nucleotides) under uncultured marine eukaryote. RNAcentral's name for it is "SSU rRNA". It matches the Rfam family "Eukaryotic small subunit ribosomal RNA", at positions 618 to 1219 of the family's 1831-position model. The record is from RNAcentral.
GUUAAAAAGCUCGUAGUUGGAUUUUGGUUAAGAGGGCGCGGUCGGCCGUUUGGUCUGUACUGCGUUGUCUUGACUUCCUGAUGAGGACAUGCUCUUGGUUAACGCUGAGACAUGGAGUCAUCGUGGUUACUUUGAAAAAAUUUGAGUGUUCAAAGCGGGCUUACGCUUGAAUAUAUUAGCAUGGAAUAACACUAUAGGACUCCUGUCCUAUCUCGUUGGUCUCGGGAUGGGAGUAAUGAUUAAGAGGAACAGUUGGGGGCAUUCGUAUUUCAUUGUCAGAGGUGAAAUUCUUGGAUUUAUGAAAGACGAACUUCUGCGAAAGCAUUUGCCAAGGAUGUUUUCAUUAAUCAAGAACGAAAGUUGGGGGCUCGAAGAUGAUUAGAUACCAUCCUAGUCUCAACCAUAAACGAUGCCGACUAGGGAUUGGUGGAUGUUAAUUGAUGACUACACCAGCACCUUAUGAGAAAUCAAAGUUUUUGGGUUCCGGGGGGAGUAUGGUCGCAAGGCUGAAACUUAAAGGAAUUGACGGAAGGGCACCACCAGGCGUGGAGCCUGCGGCUUAAUUUGACUCAACACGGGGGAAACUUACC